CCCCUGGUAGCUCAGCAGUAAAGAAUCUGCCUGCAGUGCAGGAGACGCAGGUUCGAUCCCUCCCUAGGUGG
This 71-nucleotide transfer RNA is filed under the name Bos taurus (domestic cattle). It matches the Rfam family "tRNA". Rfam says of the family: Transfer RNA (tRNA) molecules are approximately 80 nucleotides in length. Their secondary structure includes four short double-helical elements and three loops (D, anti-codon, and T loops). RNAcentral also lists the same sequence under 3 other names. The record is from Rfam by way of RNAcentral. Lineage: Eukaryota; Metazoa; Chordata; Mammalia; Artiodactyla; Bovidae.